This is a non-coding RNA of Nicotiana tabacum (common tobacco), 2005 nucleotides long. Lineage: Eukaryota; Viridiplantae; Streptophyta; Magnoliopsida; Solanales; Solanaceae. The record is from RefSeq and is a predicted model, not a curated record.
GUCACUCCUGUGUCCUGUCCCUAUAUUAUAAAUAUUCCAUUUUAAAUAGUGAAUUUUCUUUGUCACGCGCCAAUGAACAAUGUGUGUUUCACGAAGAAGAGCCUGAAUCGGGAGAAGAAACGUCCGAAAUCCAAAUUGAAGCUUCAACGACCAUAAACCCUUUUCGUUUGGUCCCAAGUGGAGCAUCAUCGGCUGUUUUUUCCAUCAAAAUCCGACUUCCGUUGUCCAUACUAUGGACUUAGAGGCUGGAGCUGCUACAAUAGAUUGUUCUGCUGAAAGCCAGUUAGUUACAUGUGAGGAUAAUGUGGUUAGGGAGCCAUUUAUUGGAAUGGAGUUCGAAUCAGAAGAUGCUGCCAAAGGAUUUUAUGAUGACUAUGCUAAGCGUGUUGGGUUUAUCAUGCGCAUUGAUCAAUGCCGGCGUUCAGAAGUCGACAAGAGAAUCCUUUCACGGCGACUUUCAUGUAACAAGCAAGGCUAUUACGUGAAAAUGAAAAACCAUUAUGGACCACCUAGAAAAACACGCACUAGCACACGAGAAGGGUGCAAGGCAAUGAUGUUGGUAAAGGUUAACAAGUCUGAUAAGUGGGUUGUGACGAGAUUCGUGAAGGAGCAUACCCAUCCAUUGAUUUCUUCUGGAUGUUCUUCUCAUAAUGCAAUGGCACAUCUUAAUGGUGAUUAUAAGAUGCAGCUCUCUGUCGAUAAGAUUUGAGUGGCAUCGUAAGGAUGGAAAGCUUUGCAGACCACAAAAUGGCAAGAUUGGUGCUUAACCUCUACCAUCUAUACAUUCAAACACCCCAUACAGUUCCGUCCAACUUGGAGUCCUAAGAUCAUAGAAUGGUUAGCUUCAAACUGAAAAUACCUUGAUUCACAAUCUCGGGAAAGCAUAUUUUCAUCAUCUGACUUGGCUGUAGGGGCAAAAAAAGGAGGAAAAAUAUGUAUCCUUCCAUGGAUGAGCUAUAGUGUCAAGAUGUUGCGCGGACUCUCCAAAAUGAUGCCGCACCCGUGUCGGAUCCUCCGGAAAUACACUAUUUUCGAGGAUCCGACACGCACCCUGCAACAUUUUCGGAGAGUUCGGGCAACAUAGGUGUCAAGAGCAUAAUCCAAGCAGCUUCAUUGCUUUUGAUUAGUUCUGCUGAGUUCAAAAUAUAAAUGUUGAGGAUAAAAAGGACAGGAGGAUCCUAGAACUGUCCAUGGAGUUGGAGCAUCAGGAUAAAUUAUGUGACCUUUACAGAGAGCAGCUAAUUACUCUUUUGGAAAAUGUUGAGCAGCAGAUGGAGCUUUUGUCAAAGAAAAUUGAAGUAGCUGUCAACAAUGUAAAAGAAAUAGAAGCAGAAGUUCAAAAGCCACCCAAUAACCAGUAGCCAUGUGUAAGUAUUUAGAUGUUAUGGUGUUAUCCUUUUGUAGCUUGACAAAACAUUUGAUUAGCGUAAUCUGCCCAUAUUGGAAAAGUGGAGAACAAGAAGGAGAAACUGGAAAAGACAAGUUUUGCCGGCAUGUUAUGUCACGUUUUGUUCAUCUAACGUCACUGAAAUUUAUUUCACAGUAUUAUGUAGCUUCUUGCUUGCUAGUUCAGAUUUAUAUUGUAUAAACUCAAAUGAUUUGGUGGAAGCUGAUGGAAUCCGCCUGCUACUAGUCCCGAGAAUGUUAACUGCUCUUUAUUUGGUCAAAUGCAGCUGAAGCAGUCUUAGUUUUUAGCUUACGAGCAAUUGUAAAAGAACACGGACAGUGCAUCAAGCAGAGGUUAGGAGAUUGUUGACGCAUAAUUGCGGUAGUUUACAGUGCUUAAACUAGCUUUGGAGUAUAUUGACAUAUAGUUGUGUAAUUUAAAUUGCUUAAACUAGCUUUGGAGAUUAUUGGUGUUUAGUAUACGUAUAUGUAAAGUUGGUCAGUGAUGGGUGCAGAGCAUGAUUUAUAAGUUUGUGGCCUUGUGGGUAAAUAGCUUAGCGUACAUAUUCGUAUAAUCGUAUGCUAUGGGAAUUGACAGGGUUCUUAAAGACUUCAAUCA